RNAcentral lists this ribosomal RNA (253 nucleotides) under uncultured bacterium. RNAcentral describes it as "partial 16S ribosomal RNA". It matches the Rfam family "Bacterial small subunit ribosomal RNA", at positions 524 to 776 of the family's 1533-position model. The record is from RNAcentral.
UACGUAGGGUCCGAGCGUUGUCCGGAAUUACUGGGCGUAAAGAGCUCGUAGGUGGUUUGUCGCGUUGUUCGUGAAAACUCACAGCUCAACUGUGGGCGUGCGGGCGAUACGGGCAGACUUGAGUACUGCAGGGGAGACUGGAAUUCCUGGUGUAGCGGUGGAAUGCGCAGAUAUCAGGAGGAACACCGGUGGCGAAGGCGGGUUUCUGGGCAGUAACUGACGCUGAGGAGCGAAAGCGUGGGGAGCGAACAGG